CGGGGGGGGGCCUACACAUGCAAGUCGAGCGAGACCUUCGGGUCUAGCGGCGGACGGGUGAGUAACGCGUGGGAACGUACCCUUUUCUGCAGGAUAGCCACUGGAAACGGUGAGUAAUACUGCAUACGCCCUUCGGGGGAAAGAUUUAUCGGAGAAGGAUCGGCCCGCGUUAGAUUAGGUAGUUGGUGGGGUAAUGGCCUACCAAGCCUACGAUCUAUAGCUGGUUUGAGAGGAUGAUCAGCCACACUGGGACUGAGACACGGCCCAGACUCCUACGGGAGGCAGCAGUGGGGAAUCUUAGACAAUGGGGGCAACCCUGAUCUAGCCAUGCCGCGUGAGUGAUGAAGGCCUUAGGGUCGUAAAGCUCUUUCGCUGGGGAAGAUAAUGACGGUACCCAGUAAAGAAACCCCGGCUAACUCCGUGCCAGCAGCCGCGGUAAU
Molecule: ribosomal RNA, 440 nt
Filed under: Salipiger bermudensis
Lineage: Bacteria; Pseudomonadati; Pseudomonadota; Alphaproteobacteria; Rhodobacterales; Roseobacteraceae
Description: bacterial SSU rRNA
Rfam family: Bacterial small subunit ribosomal RNA
Source: RNAcentral